UUGAGGAGAUGGCUCUUCAUAGGGUGAUGAGACAGUUUGGUCUAUGUCAAGAGCCUGCAAUUCCAGAUAUUCCACGGAUACCAGACCACGUUCACAAGUACAGUCGCGUAGGAGGAAACAAGUCCAUGGCUGUUUGGCUUCAGAGCAUUAGCCCUUACGUUCAAGAAUGGACUACGACACCGACAAAUAUCUGGAAUGAGGUUGGGCCCUUUGACUGGGACAAGUUUGGGUUGUAUUUACAAACUUACCGGCAUACAACGAGGAUCUACUUGGUUCCAUCAGCUGCUCCUGAUCAGAUUGAAGCCCCUCUGACCAGCAAUAUGUACCCAACUACCUCUGUUGUGGGAACGAGACACCACGCGUCCAGGCGCGAGAGGAGGUUUCCGCUUUAAUGCGGCAGGUUGAGAGGGGGGAUACUAUCCCACAGCCAGAGCACCUCUCAUGGUUGAGGCGUAUGGAUGAGAAGUUAAGAGGGAUUUACGCAUCACUUACAUGUAGGCGAUCUACGGAUGUUGUCAUUCCUCGUCCCGCACAUCGGCCCCCACGUCCCUCUGUCCAUCGUUCAGAACCACGGCACUCUGUGCAGCGUUCAGAACCACGACACUCCGUGCAGCAACCACGCCUCUCUGUGCAUCAACCAUCUCCUUCACAACCAGGGAGCUCUUCCUGGAAUCAGCCAUCGCCUUCUCAACCAGGCACCUCUUCCUGGUCUCAUCAAAUGGAACUAGGCAACCAGUCGCGACAGUUCAUGCAUUCAGUGCAAUCACCGAUACUUAGUGGUGCUGGAUGUGGAUUAGAGGGCUAUGGCGAUGACGAUGACCAAGCUGAAAACAUUUAUGACUUCUCGCACACGGUGUUUCACACUCCACCACCACCACCGUCG
Molecule: long non-coding RNA, 883 nt
Organism: Triticum dicoccoides
Lineage: Eukaryota; Viridiplantae; Streptophyta; Magnoliopsida; Poales; Poaceae
Exons: 4
Source: RefSeq, a predicted model, not a curated record